UACGUAGGGAGCAAGCGUUGUCCGGAAUCAUUGGGCGUAAAGCGCGCGUAGGUGGCCUCAUAAGUCCGCUGUGAAAGUCAAAGGCUCAACCUUUGAAAGCCGGUGGAUACUGUGGGGCUAGAGUACGGAAGAGGCGAGUGGAAUUCCUGGUGUAGCGGUGGAAUGCGCAGAUAUCAGGAGGAACACCAAUAGCGAAGGCAGCUCGCUGGGACGUUACUGACACUGAGGCGCGAAAGCUAGGGGAGCGAACAGG
Molecule: ribosomal RNA, 253 nt
Filed under: uncultured bacterium
Lineage: Bacteria
Description: partial 16S ribosomal RNA
Rfam family: Bacterial small subunit ribosomal RNA
Source: RNAcentral